Long non-coding RNA from Mobula hypostoma (lesser devil ray), 1198 nucleotides. RefSeq lists it as uncharacterized. NCBI's taxonomy places the organism in Eukaryota, Metazoa, Chordata, Chondrichthyes, Myliobatiformes, Myliobatidae. The record is from RefSeq and is a predicted model, not a curated record. The transcript has 4 exons.
UGAACAGUCUGCUGAAAACAAACACUGUUAAGUGGAAAGAAGACUAGGGCUGGUCUAAUUCCCCACUGCAACAUUUUCAAAUGACGAAUGCUUGGUAAAUGGAUUUAGCUUUGAAAGAAAGUCGCACAGAAAUUUGAUGUGGCCUCGUGACCCUGGAAACGGGGAUGCCUGGCCUGACUGCUUUGCACAAAACUACUCAUAUGUUUGCAAAAUGAGCAAACAUUCAGCUGAGGAAGAGGUGCCAUGUUAGUGCAACUUGAAUGGCCACAGGAUCAUACUAAUUGCUCCAGCCCAGAGACUAUUGGGCAUGAAGCGGCUGGAAAAUAUUGGUCAUCCCACGAAGCUGGUGGCAGCCAAGUCCAAGAUUUUUUAUACGGAUCAUGGGUUAUGAGAUCCACUGUAACAUACUGCUUAUAACAAAUGAUAAGAGGAACUAAUGGAUCAUGAAAAUGUCUCCUACACAAUAACCAAAGCCCAUCUAAUAAAUAGGUCCACAAUUCAAAUGAUCAGGAAGAAGUAUUCUUCACUUUCUUGGAUGAGUGCAUCGUCAACAAAUCAAAAGAUGCUUAACUCCUUACAGACCAUAGCAACCCACUUCAGAGGCACUGAUCCACAGCCAUUCACUGACACAGAAGCAUGAUGCAUGUUUUCAAAUUACCAAUUACCAAAAGGUCUUUACACCUUUCCAGCCCCACAACCUCCACCAACUGGAAGCACAAGAUCAGCAAAAGCACGGACCAGUACCAUUUGAAAUUUUUUCUCCAAGCCACAUAGUAUAUUGACUUGGAAAUAUAUUUCCCUUCCUUUACCAUCACUGUAUUAACAUCCACAUUUCAAGUACUGCAGCAGGGUUCAAGAAGGUAGAUCACCCACUCCUUCUCAGGGUCAGUAAUGGAUGGGUAAUUAAAUGCAAACUCAACCUGUGAAGACAAAAUCCUUUUAAUGAAUACAUAUUUUUUUUAAAAAAUCACAUUUAAUGGGCACCCUGCUGUCACAGAAAGAAUUAAUGUCUGUGAAUCUUUGCCUUCCUUGUUGUUAUUGUGGGAUAGAUGUUCUUUGUGGAUUUGAAGCAUUCAACAAAGCCCAUUUAAAGGGAAUGGAAGCAGAGUCACAUUGACACUCAAGGAGAUCUCCAAGAUGUAUAGUUCUCUUUCGAACUUUGUAUAAAUUGGUGCUACUCUGAGAGCUGUUGGUCAUA